Molecule: long non-coding RNA, 897 nt
Organism: Acanthochromis polyacanthus (spiny chromis)
Lineage: Eukaryota; Metazoa; Chordata; Actinopteri; Pomacentridae
Exons: 2
Source: RefSeq, a predicted model, not a curated record
GCGAUGAGGUUCCUCAGCUGUUUGAUGACGGUGUCGAUCAACUUCUGUCUGUCUCUGUCCGUCUUCCUGAACUGGGCGAAGACGUUGUUCUUCCGGCUCGUCUCCCUCAUCCUGCAGACAGGAAAACGCUGGAGAACCGUGGAUGUCCAGGAGGUUUUGGGGCCCAGCGGACCAGACAAGCCCCAGCAGGGUGCUUCCUCCUGGGCACCAACAGACCACCAGGCCUGCCUCUAAUGACCUGGAGGCCGAAGAGCUGCUGUUUGUUAGUGUGUACAGGCAGAAUCAAAGUGUGUUCAUGCAGGUUGUGUGUGUGUUAUCAGUGUUUCCAUAUCAGCUGUGAUGGUACACGGAUGGAUGUGGGUGUUGUCGUGGCGAUAACAUCUGGCCGGUAACAGCCGAUAAACAUCGUCACGACAUGAGAUUACUUCUAUGUAAAUCCCUGCGGUGAGAUUUCACACACUUUAAACCAAACAGUGGAGACGAUACUCACGGCUUAAACAACCUGCAGAAACAGAAAAGAGCCGCUGAGAUACAGAUGGAGGAAGAUCUAAAGGCCAACAAGUCAAACCAGUAGUUUUACUGGAUUUAAAGGAGCAGAUCAACAUUUUGGGUCACACACUGUUUGCCUUUUUUCCAAUUCUACCAUUACAAGAACAGUUAGCCUAGCUUAGCAUUAGCCACAGGAUAAUUGACUUCAAAGCCCAAAAUAGUUCGUAAAAUCUCAAUCAACAUCUACAAAUCUAUUUUUUUUGGUUUGAAUUUACUUUUUCCAUCACUGUGUUUCUUUAGCAAACCUAAUUUUGUUUUAAUCUGCUUUUGUGAUUUUGGAAAGUACUCUAUAAUUAAAAUGCUUAUCAUUUACUGUAAAUGAGUAAAUAAACCUGGCUUUGUUGACAU